This 580-nucleotide unclassified non-coding RNA is filed under the name uncultured Bradyrhizobium sp. RNAcentral's name for it is "partial 16S-23S ribosomal RNA intergenic spacer". The stretch from base 459 to 580 matches the Rfam family "Bacterial large subunit ribosomal RNA", at positions 1 to 121 of the family's 2925-position model. The record is from RNAcentral. Lineage: Bacteria; Pseudomonadati; Pseudomonadota; Alphaproteobacteria; Hyphomicrobiales; Nitrobacteraceae.
CGGGGCCGUACCUCACCUGGGAGAGCGCGUGCUUUGCAAGCAUGAGGUCGUCGGUUCGAUCCCGUCUGGCUCCACCAGAUGGUUUGAUCACCGAGAUCUUGACCGUCGUCCGCGAAACAUCACUUCGCAUCCUGCUAGUCUGGAUAGACAGCAGUUUGCGUGUUUUCUGACAUCGUAAAGAGGAGAUCGAUCCGAGUUGGGUCGUGCAGCAUAUCGUUGCGCGAGCCUUCAUUAUCUCCGGAUCAUUUCGGCGCUCGCUUCCAGCCGUGAGGUUGGAUGCGGGUUGUAAAUGAUCCUUUUAGCGAAGCUUGACCGCCUCGCUAUCGGAACGAUCUUACGAAGCAAGCUGGUCUUUCUAGUCAAUGUCCGGCUGCGGAUAGCGUUCAUCGAGGGCGCGUGCCGCAGGGCAAUUCUGCAGACAACAUUCUGCCGAGUGUGUGGACAUUGAUAAUGAGAGCAAUCAAGUGCCUUAAGGGUGUUCGGUGGAUGCCUUGGCGCUGAGAGGCGAUGAAGGACGUGCUACGCUGCGAUAAGCCGUGGGGAGCUGCGAAGAAGCUUUGAUCCGCGGAUUUCCGAAUGG